This 906-nucleotide long non-coding RNA is filed under the name Equus caballus (horse). RNAcentral describes it as "lncRNA (ENSECAG00000053322.1)". The record is from RNAcentral. Lineage: Eukaryota; Metazoa; Chordata; Mammalia; Perissodactyla; Equidae.
CACAAGGACUUUCUCUCUGAUGGGUGGCCCCGGGCUGCAUCCCUGCCUCUUUCCUUGACUAGUUGGAGCCUCAGUUCCUUGGGGUGUACAAUGGGAACAAUAAUGGCCUCUUCCCACUACCUGGUGACGGCUAGCACAAUCCAGGGAGACAUUGGCUGUGAGGUCUGGGAUGAACCACCAAGCGCUCCACGUUAAUUAUUAUUAUUACCUCUGCCUGACUGACGAAAGAAGCGGGGAAGGAUGCCACAGGAUCAGACAGGCCUGUGGAGAUCAGGCUCAUGCAGAUCUCCCAGCCUGUUAAAGCCAACAGGGGCCUUGGAAACCAUCUAAGAUCCCACGAAGCAGCACAACUGGUGGAAAGAGAACUUCGGAGUCCCAAAGGCCAGAGAUGUGGAGCGCGUCACUUACACUCUCUGAAAUAUCAACAAAAAUACCUACCUGAGCAGUUACUGAGAGGAUUAAAAGGGAGUCUGCUCCUGGAGCACGGAGCACAGUACCUGGCACAGAGCGGCUGUUCACCUCAGGGAAGACUGUGCUGAAAAUCAGGGUAAGGAUCUGAUGCAAAGGAUUCCAGAGCUGCCAUAAAGAUGGAACACAGAGCCUUGGCCCUGAGACGGAAAGAGUGGGACCAUGUGUUCUGGAAUGGAGACAUUUAGGUAAAUGAACCCAAACAUCUUGAAACUCCAAAUUCCCUUCCCAAAGGAGCAGCACCUCACCUUUGCCAGAGGAGACUAGACUGUACUUGUCUGGAGGACAUGCAAUGAUCUCACUUAAAGCAGUUUCUUCACAAGAUGAUGCUUGUCCUCCAGAAGACAAGCUCACCUCCGCUAACCCUCCUUGUCUCCAGACUGAUAGCCAAAGUCAGGUCUCAACAAGCUCAGAUGGAGAAGCAGAAUCCACGUUUUA